Molecule: long non-coding RNA, 2746 nt
Filed under: Chloebia gouldiae (Gouldian finch)
Lineage: Eukaryota; Metazoa; Chordata; Aves; Passeriformes; Passeridae
Description: Erythrura gouldiae (Gouldian finch) lncRNA (ENSEGOG00005017956.1)
Source: RNAcentral
CCACACCCACACAGGCAGCGGUGACGUUUCCCUGCCAUUGGUGGAUCUGAGCCGGCUCUCUCUGCUCUUCUGCCACCAGCCACUGCAUUUCUGGCUUGGGAUUUGGGAAGGGUCCCUACCUGCCUGCGCCCCAGGAGGAGGAUGAGGACAACCUGCUGUCCCCCGAGACCUGCUACGAGUGCAAGAUCAACGGGUACCCCAAGAGGGGCCGGCAGCGGCGCAGCGUCAACGGCACAGAGAGGCACCAGGAGCACGCUGUGAACUUGGCCAGCAUGGACGUGGACGCGCCGCUGUCCAUGACCCUGAACCUGUCGGAGCUGGCCCACAAGGAGCACAUCCUGGAGCUGCUGCCGGCCGUGGAGCCGCUGGAGAACCGCGUGCGCUACACCAUCUCCCAGGGCAACGAGGAGGGGCUGUUCCGCAUCCACCACAAGGAAGGGCUCAGCUUCCUGCACCUGGGCCGCAAGAAAAUCCUGCCGGGCACCUACCUGCUGGAGAUCGUCAGCGUGGCCCUGCCCCGCCGGCGGGAACUGCACAAACUCGAGGCCAACAACCACCUCGACUACUUGGCGGGGGAGCUGGGCCAGGCACUGAGGAUGAAGCUGCAGCUCCAGCUCUACUAAAGCCACGAGAGAAACCCCCCCAAGUCCCACCCGACAGCGCAGCCCUGCCCCUCGCCACCCACCCCGGGAACAACGGGCUCCUCUCCUGCCACCGCCGCCGGGACAGCCAUGGGAAUGUUCCUGUGGGAUCAGCCACCAGCCAUGGGGAAUGUCCCUGUGGGAUCAGCCACCACCAGGACAGCCAUGGGGAAUGUCCCUGUGGGAUCAGCCACCACCAGGACAGCCAUAGGGAAUGUCCCUGUGGGAUCAGCACCCAGCCAUGGGAAUGUCCCUGUGGGAUCAGCACCCUGGGGAUGCUCUGCUCUGGGGGUGCCUGAGCCAAGCCCAAAAGGACCAAACCUGAGCAGCAGCUCCCGGAGCUCCCAAAAGCCAAAGAUUCCAAGCUCCUGAGCAGGGCCUCCUCUCCCUCUGCUCCCACCUCUCCCCCUUAUCCAGGAUGCUCCGAGCUGGGGAUCUGCCUGUUCUCCAUGGCCACAUCCCAGGGAAGGUGAGGGGGGCUGGGGGCAGCUUUGGGGGGAGCUGUGGCUCCGUGUGGUGCCCGUGCAUUUCCUGCUCCUCCUCUGCUUCCGCAGGUUCCUGGUGCUGCAGGAACAUCCCAUCCCUGGCCUGUUGGAGCUCUGUAUCCCUGUCUUGUCCAUGGCACCUGGGCCUUCAAGGAUUCCUCUGAUCUUUUUGGGGACUCCUCUAUCAAACAGGGCAAAGGGACAGGUCAGGUUGUCCCCUCCCAUCCCAAAGCUGUGGGCAGGAGGGGAGGCAGGGACAUCCAGGAUUUCCUUUGGCACAAAAUCCUCGACUUGGGGUCACCCUGUGUGUGAUCCCCCAGCCAGGAGCACCUCUGGGAAAGGGGGGCUGGGGGUCCCUCCCCUCUGCUCGUGCCCUGCAGCCCAGUGACCCCAAGGUGGCAGCCCCGAUGGACAUUCUGUGGCACUGAAAAGAGGGUGGAAAAUCGGGAUGAAUCCGUGCUUCCCCCCAUUCCCUGUGCAGCCCCUUCCCCUCUCCCUGUCCCAGCUGAUCCCGGCAGGGCCAUUCCCUGGUUUUGUGUGAAUCCUUCCCAGUUUUCCACCAGCCCUGCUCAUUCCCCGAUAAAAAGUGCUGAUUAAUUCCUGGGACAAAAAGUGCUGAUUCCCGGGAUAAAAGGUGCUGAUUCCCGGGAUAAAAGAUGCUCAUUCUCGGGAUAAGAAAAUGCUAAUUCCUGGGAUAAAAAGGGUUUCAUUCCUGGGAUAAAAGAUGCUCAUUUCUGGGAUAAAAGGUUCUGAAUCCCGGGACAAAAAGUGCUGAUUCCCGGGAUAAAAGGUGCUCAUUCCCAGGAUAAAUGGUGCUCAUUCCCAAGAUAAAAGGUGCUCAUUCCCGGGAUAAAAGAUGCUCAUUUCCAGGAUAAAUGAUGCUCAUUCCCGGGAUAAAAGGUGCUCAUUCCCAGGAUAAAAAGUCUUUCAUUCCCAGGAUAAAAGGUGCUCAUUCCCAAGAUAAAAGGUGCUCAUUCCCGGGAUAAAAAGUGCUCAUUCCUGGGAUAAAAAGUGCUCAUUCCCGGGAUAAAAGGUGCUCAUUCCCGGGAUAAAUGAUGCUUAUUCCCGGGAUAAAAAGUCUGUCAUUCCCAGGAUAAAAGGUGCUCAUUCCCACGGAACUGCCUCAUCCCCAGGCCCGAGGAGCUCCAGCUCCUGGGAGCUGGUGCUGGUUCCUGGCCAGCGUUCUGCACUGUGUCCAUCCACCCUCCCAUAUUUAUGGAAAACCACCAAAGGAAUGCUCGCUCGGUGCUGUCAGGAGUGCAUUUUCCUGUAGCUUUACAUUUUUUUUUGAGGGGUGGGAAUUUCUCCUGGUUCGGGGUGGGGGAUGUGUGUGUUUACUGUAUCGGGGCUCCAGGUAAACUUGAAAACUCUUCAAAGCAGCUCCAGACUCUGGAUUUUACAAGAGUCCCAGAGCUUGUGACAGGAUGGGUGGCCUGAUGUUUGGGAUUGGUUUGGUUUUUUUUGUUUGGUUGGUUUUUUGGGUUUUUUUUUAAUUAUUAUUUUUGGUUUUUUGUUUUUUGUUUUUUUUUUACAACAGGUGCUUUUUAAAAAAACCAACAAAAUCCAAAAAGUAUUAUUAAUAAUAAUAAAUUAGCAGAGCUGGGUUUGUGUGCGUGUGUU